GACGAACGCUGGCGGCGUGCUUAACACAUGCAAGUCGAACGGAGCGAAUGAAAGCUUGCUUUUAUGAGCUUAGUGGCAAACGGGUGAGUAACACGUAGACAACCUGCCGACAGGAUGGGGACAACAUUCCGAAAGGAAUGCUAAUACCGAAUGAAGCGGAGGAGAGGCAUCUCUCCUCCGUGAAAGAUGGCCUCUGAACAUGCUAUCACCUGUCGAUGGGUCUGCGUCUGAUUAGCUAGUUGGUGAGGUAACGGCUCACCAAGGCGACGAUCAGUAGCCGGUCUGAGAGGAUGAACGGCCACAUUGGGACUGAGACACGGCCCAGACUCCUACGGGAGGCAGCAGUGGGGAAUCUUCCGCAAUGGGCGCAAGCCUGACGGAGCAACGCCGCGUGAGUGAAGAAGGUCUUCGGAUCGUAAAGCUCUGUUGACGGGGACGAACGUGCGAAG
Molecule: ribosomal RNA, 449 nt
Filed under: Centipeda dianae
Lineage: Bacteria; Bacillati; Bacillota; Negativicutes; Selenomonadales; Selenomonadaceae
Description: bacterial SSU rRNA
Rfam family: Bacterial small subunit ribosomal RNA
Source: RNAcentral